UUACUGGUGGCGCAUGCGCACAAGUGACCCUUGCUUGCGCUCCUUUUCUCCUCCCAGCUGCGGCUUCAAUCGAUGUGCGGAGGUUCGAUGCAGCAGCCUGUUCGACGUAGCGGCCCUCGGUCCAGGUUGCUGCCGGCCCCUCCGCAGGCUCCGCUCCCGCUGCCUUUGCCGCCGCAGUCGCCCGCCGACGUCGUCGGGCCCCCGGCAGCCAUUUUGAGCGCAGAUCGACCCAGGCCGAAAGACGGGCUGACUUCUGGAAGACAGCCCUUACUCACAAUGUAUAGACCAAAAGUAAGCCUGAAAGACAGGCAACAACUUUACAGACUCAUUAUUAGUCAGUUGCUUUAUGAUGGAUAUAUCAACAUUGCUAACGGUCUGAUAAAUGAGGUAAAACCACAGUCUGUAUGUGCACCCUCUGAACAACUAUUGCAUCUUAUUAAAGUGGGAAUGGAAAAUGAUGAUAGUGCAGUUCAGUAUGCAAUUGGGCGCUCUGAUACAGUAGCUCCUGGCACAGGGAUUGACCUGGAAUUUGAUGCAGAUGUGCAGACCAUGUCCCCAGAAGCUUCUGAAUAUGAGACCUGUUAUGUAACAUCUCACAAAGGACCAUGUCGUGUAGCUACAUACAGCAGAGAUGGACAGUUAAUAGCUACAGGAUCAGCUGAUGCUUCAAUCAAAAUUCUUGAUACAGAGAGAAUGUUAGCAAAGAGUGCUAUGCCAAUUGAGGUCAUGAUGAAUGAAACAGCUCAGCAGAACAUGGAGAACCACCCUGUUAUUAGAACUCUGUAUGAUCACGUGGAUGAGGUGACAUGUUUAGCUUUCCAUCCAACAGAACAAAUCCUUGCCUCUGGUUCAAGGGAUUACACACUUAAAUUGUUUGACUACUCAAAACCAUCUGCCAAAAGAGCCUUCAAAUAUAUCCAGGAAGCAGAAAUGCUGCGUUCUAUCUCUUUCCAUCCUUCUGGAGACUUCAUUCUUGUCGGUACCCAGCAUCCUACCCUGCGACUGUAUGAUGUCAAUACUUUCCAGUGCUUUGUAUCUUGCAAUCCUCAAGAUCAGCACACUGAUGCCAUAUGCUCAGUUAAUUACAAUCCAAGUGCUAACAUGUAUGUAACGGGCAGCAAAGACGGUUGCAUCAAAUUGUGGGAUGGCGUUUCAAAUCGUUGUAUCACUACUUUUGAAAAAGCGCACGAUGGGGCUGAAGUCUGUUCUGCCAUUUUCUCCAAGAAUUCAAAGUAUAUUCUGUCUAGUGGAAAAGACUCUGUAGCUAAACUGUGGGAGAUCUCUACAGGGAGAACACUAGUAAAAUAUACAGGUGAGUAGAUGUUGACCAAUAUAAUAGAUAUGUAUAUAUUUCUCUCCCAUCCUCCAUUACAUCUAGUUAAAUGUAAUGGCCUUCCUGGAUGUAUCGUGAGGAAAAAUGUAAAUUGAAAGUUCUGUACAAAGUAUGCAAUAGUGGCAUAUAAAUCCAGACGUUUUCCCUUGAAAUUUUUAACAAAUAGUUCAUUAUUGGUCAUAAGGAAAUAACCUCAUGAUCAGUGACCUAGGAGAAAAUCAGGUAAACUCUGCAGUCAUGUCCAAAAUCAUACGUGUGUUUGCACAACUCUUACUUAAAAUCACUUGGGUGUAUUUAAGAGAAAUCCUUGGGGUUCACACAAUGAUUCGUUUCCUACUAAUACUUCUUAAUAUACGAAUGAUGUUGCUUCUUUUUUUUAUCUUGCUGAGCUGGAAACAAACUACAUCAACAUGUAAGAUUGCAAUUUUCUUCUCAAUGCUUUCUCUAAUACUUCCAGUGUGUGAGAUGCUACGGAAAUUGUAUGAAUUAACUUCUCUGGAAUAAGUCCUUUUCUGUAGAGGCAUAUUUUGUAAUACAAAUUUUCAAGUUUCUAACAUGCUAAACCAGCAGGGUGCAGUCAAGUCUUGGCAUACCUCCGCUGUCAGAGACACUCUGCCUUUGAAUGUCAAUUGCUGGAAGCAAGUGAGGAGAGAGCUGUUGCACUAGGGUCUUGCUUGCAGGCUUCCCAUGGGCAUCUGGUUGGCCACAGUGAGAACAGAAUACUGUGCUAGAUGGCCUGAUCUAGCAGGGCUCUUUCUCCAGUUUUAAAUAAUGUAUUGUUCUUCCUUUACAAAGAAACAAGGGCACUGGGGGGGGGGCAUAGUAUGCAUCCUCUGCUGUAGUUGGAAAGCAGUACAUUAGCUUGAUUUAAUGUUUGUGGUUGGUUAUUUUCUCACUAGAUGAACUCUACCAAUCCAACUAGUGCACUACUGGGUUUCUUUCUGAGAGAAGAUUUUCUGUUGCUCUUGUAUGCUGUGAGCAACAGCUGUUUUGGUUCAUGUGAAUGGCACAUGUUUUAAUAAUGCUUUCAGUCAUUUUAUGUUAUUAGUGUCUUUGAGAUUUUUGGAAUACAGUGGUACCUCUACUUACGAAUGGAGCUCCGUCCGCCAUCUUGGAUGCGGUUUAGAUAGGAUUUUUUCUACUUAUGAAUUUUUAGAUAGGGUUGCUUCUACUUACGAAUUUUUUCUCCCAAUGCAUUCCUAUGGGAUUUGACUUACAAUUUUUUUCGACUUACUAAUGUGCGUUCGGAACGCAUUAAAUUCAUAAGUAGAGGUACCACUGUAAAUAUUUUUUCUACAUAGGCAUCAUUUAUUAGAAUCUAAUGCAUGGGUCUUUAAAUAUAUCUCUAUAUAUCAAAACAUCAGGCUUUGCAAUAACUUUCGCCAUGUUUAACAUUUCUAUCCCUAUUAGGAGCAUUAGUGUCAGUAAGUUUUAAGGCUCUUGAGAAUACUUGUCUCAAAAUUGUUGUACCAGCUAAUGAACAUAUAUAGUUCGUAUAGAUACUGAGAACUAAAGGCUUGCUACAUUACACUGGAGUAAGAGUUUGGCAUUUAAGACAAGGGUACUAACCUGUUAAACCACAGAGCCUAGGGCUUGUCGGUCAGAAGGUCGGCAGUUCAAAUCCCCGUGACGGGGUGAGCUCCCGUUGUUCGGCCCCUGCUCCUGCCAACCUAGCAGUUCGAAAGCACAAAGUGCAAGUAGAUAAAUAGGUACCGCUCCGGCGGGAAGGUAAACGGCGUUUCCGUGCGUUGCUCUGAGAUGGGUAUUUUGAAACGGCAAGUCAUCUCUGAUAUGACAUCUCUGACAUUGCAAAUUAUGAUCUGUUCCUGGGAUCCUCAUGUUUCCAUAAACAAAGUUAAAACAUCUGUGACAGUAAAAUUGGAGUAUCCUUUUCCUAUAGAACUAUCUAAUAUAUGGCUUCCAUUAACUUCCAUCCACCAAAAUUGUAGAGACAGAUUUACCAUUAAAUAUUUGUAGUCAUGUCAAAGAGAGCGCUCAACCUAAACCCCAAGAAAGGUGGGGGGGGGGAGAUCUACUCAUUUCAUUUGAAAACUUUUCCCUCAUCCCUAAAAGACAAGAUGAAUAAUCUUUCAGAUAUAACUUUUUUCAUUCCCAACUGGGAAUAAAUUUAUUUUAUAUCAUAAAUAAUGUAUUUUAGGUUUGAACAGAUUCCCUUUCUGCCAACGUGGAAAUAAAGGUGGAUAGCUGAGAUUUAGAAGACAGGAAAUGUGGUACAGGUGUGAUCUGCAAUACAAUAUUUUAGCAUUGGACUGGGUGUUUUUGAGGAGGAAGUCCCUGCCUAGGAUUUAAGGUUUUUGUACUUCUGCAAACUUUGAGGUUUUCUGAGCCUGCUGAUAAUCUGUGUGUGUAUGUGGUGCCAUUUUGGCUACAUAAAUACCAUCACUUGGAGAAUUGAGAUCUCUUUAAAUAUAUGUGAUAAUAGAUCACAAACAAGUCCUUGCCCUCUUGGAUGUAAAGUUUCUUUAGUGGCACUUUUCAAGACAGAGACAGCUGUUUGGAUUAAAGAUACUUCAGUGUCUGCUAAGAUCCCAGCAAACCUUUUGUAAUAUCCUGAUACCAGUCUUGCUACUCGUAAGUUGACUAAUGGUCUCUCUUACUUUCUUUACUCUAACUAGUUGGUUCAACCUAUUCUUUUCCUCAUCUGAAAUUUUAGGAAUCUGGACGUUAGAAAGAAAGAGCUCUUUUUCUUUGGGAGCUGGUUUGAGUGGACGCCAAGUUCAUAGAACACAGGCUGUCUUCAACCACACAGAAGACUAUGUGCUGCUUCCUGAUGAAAGGACCAUUAGCCUCUGCUGCUGGGAUUCACGAACAGCUGAACGA
This is a non-coding RNA of Zootoca vivipara (common lizard), 4174 nucleotides long. The record is from RefSeq and is a predicted model, not a curated record. NCBI's taxonomy places the organism in Eukaryota, Metazoa, Chordata, Lepidosauria, Squamata, Lacertidae.